UCAUUGCAUCACUUUAUAUUGCAAACUCAUGCAAUCACAUUCUUUACUUUUCUUUUACUUUUGCUAACUCUAGCAAUUAUAUUCUUUAUUCCCCUCAUUACUUUAACUUUAACAUUGUUAUCUUCAUCAUUCUUUACAUUACAUUGGUUCUUUGCAUCACACUAACUCUAGUGUCUCUUUACUUUACAUUUUCAAAUGCCACUCGAUCUAUGUCAUUGUGCCACUCGGUUCUUUUGCUCACUUUGGGUGCUCACAUAUUCUCUCAUGCAUACAUCUAGGGUUUUGACAUUAUUAGGUUCUCAACCAUCUCAUUAUGCAAGUUGCGCUUACAAUUAUGCAAUCAUCACAUUUCAUCAUUACUUUACCCUAAAAUGCAUGCA
Molecule: long non-coding RNA, 380 nt
Filed under: Ananas comosus (pineapple)
Lineage: Eukaryota; Viridiplantae; Streptophyta; Magnoliopsida; Poales; Bromeliaceae
Description: long non-coding RNA (ACOM_LNC040583)
Source: RNAcentral